UUUUGCGCCAUUUUCUGCCACGCACGACCCCUCUUUGGAACCAGCUACCACCUACGGUAUUUCCGAGCAAAUACGACCUAGGGACCUUCAAAAGAAGAGCAUAUUCCUUUUUGAAAGGCCGGCAACGCGCCUGCUAAUCCUUUGAUGUAGCGGGUGUUUGUGGAUGUUGUUUUCACUUACCAUCAGGUGAGCCAACUGUCCGUUUGCCCCCUCUUCUAUAAAAAAAAAAAAAAAAAAAAAAUUCUAUAUAUUAAAAAAAAAAAAAAAAAAAAAAAAAAAAAAAAAAAAAAAAAAAAAAAAAAAAAAAAAAAAAACACCCGUCUUAGCAAA
RNAcentral lists this unclassified non-coding RNA (330 nucleotides) under Melitaea cinxia (Glanville fritillary). Its description in RNAcentral is "misc RNA ENSMCXG00005002462.1". Lineage: Eukaryota; Metazoa; Arthropoda; Insecta; Lepidoptera; Nymphalidae. The record is from RNAcentral.